GGCGGCAUGCUUAACACAUGCAAGUCGAACGGCAGCGCGGGGAGCUUGCUCCCUGGCGGCGAGUGGCGGACGGGUGAGUAACGCGUGGGAAUCUGCCCAGUAGUGGGGGACAACCCGAGGAAACCCAGGCUAAUACCGCAUACGCUCUGUACUUAGGUAGAGAGGAAAGCGGGGGCCCUUUUCGAAGGCCUCGCGCUGAUGGAUGAGCCUACGUCCGAUUAGCUAGUUGGUAGGGUAAGAGCCUACCAAGGCGACGAUCGGUAGCUGGUCUUAGCGGAUGAUCAGCCACACUGGGACUGAGACACGGCCCAGACUCCUACGGGAGGCAGCAGUGGGGAAUAUUGGACAAUGGGGGCAACCCUGAUCCAGCAAUGCCGCGUGUGUGAAGAAGGCCUGCGGGUUGUAAAGCACUUUCAGUGGUGAGGAAAGCUCACGCGUUAAUAGCGCGGGAGGGUGACGUUAGCCACAGAAGCAGCACCGGCUAACUCCGUG
Molecule: ribosomal RNA, 492 nt
Filed under: uncultured bacterium
Lineage: Bacteria
Description: bacterial SSU rRNA
Rfam family: Bacterial small subunit ribosomal RNA
Source: RNAcentral